UGUAUCACCGUUACCUAUGAACAUUAAUCUCCCUUCUCCUCCUGGAACACUACCACCCGUUGGCCCUUGGCCAAUGAACAUGUCUCUUCAUCAAGGACCACCAACUAUGUUACCCAAUCCAAUGUGCUCCUCCCCUCAUCACCUGUACCCUUCACCUCCGCACACCCCAAACAUGAUGCACCCAAUUCGCUUUAUGUACCCUCCGUAUUCUCAACCCCAGACGUUACCUCCAAGUACGUUCUUGCGCUUUAUGUACCCUCCAUAUUCUCAACCCCAGACGUUACCUCCAAGUACAUUCCCGAUGAGCAGCAGCAAUUUCCAUCCGAAUCAUUAUGCUUGGCAAUGCAAUAUAGCUCCUAAUGCAUCUGACUACAUUCCUGCCACAGUUUGGCCUGGCUGUCACCCAGUCGAGUUUUCUAUAUCACCACCUGUGAUUGAGCCAUUAACUGACUCAAUUUCUGCUUCUAAGGAACCAUCUGAUAACCCUGAAAGCAUUAUUUUGGCAACAAGCUUACCAGUAGAUCUUAACACUAAGGAUGAAGUUAA
Molecule: long non-coding RNA, 546 nt
Filed under: Nicotiana benthamiana
Lineage: Eukaryota; Viridiplantae; Streptophyta; Magnoliopsida; Solanales; Solanaceae
Description: long non-coding RNA (NBEN_LNC035534)
Source: RNAcentral